AACAAGAGCCAAGGUCAGUCCUUAAACAAGGUAGGCAUAUAUUUGCCUAAGCAAGUGUUCUGCCAUGGACAACUAUAUGUGACACUAUCAAGAGUGACAAACAAGGAACGAUUGAAGGUACUGAUUGAUGACGAAGAAUGUCCAACUGAAGAUGUCGCAAAGAAUAUUGUUUACAAAGAGAUAUUUUAA
RNAcentral lists this ribosomal RNA (189 nucleotides) under Triticum aestivum (bread wheat). Its description in RNAcentral is "partial small subunit ribosomal RNA". The record is from RNAcentral. Lineage: Eukaryota; Viridiplantae; Streptophyta; Magnoliopsida; Poales; Poaceae.